RNAcentral lists this ribosomal RNA (425 nucleotides) under uncultured Acinetobacter sp. Its description in RNAcentral is "bacterial SSU rRNA". It matches the Rfam family "Bacterial small subunit ribosomal RNA", at positions 356 to 774 of the family's 1533-position model. The record is from RNAcentral. Lineage: Bacteria; Pseudomonadati; Pseudomonadota; Gammaproteobacteria; Moraxellales; Moraxellaceae.
GGGGAAUAUUGGACAAUGGGGGGAACCUGAUCCCGCCAAGCCGCGGGUGUGAAGAAGGCCUUAUGGUUUGAAAGCACUUUAAGGGAGGGGGAGGGUCUUUUGGUUAAUUCCCAAGAUGAGUGGACGUUACUAGCAGCAUAAAGCCCCGUUACACCCGUUCCAGCAGCCGCGGUAAUAAAGAGGUGCGAGCGUUAAUCGGAUUUACUGGGCGUAAAGCGUGCGUAGGCGGCUUUUUAAGUCGGAUGUGAAAUCCCCGAGCUUAACUUGGGAAUUGCAUUCGAUACUGGGAAGCUAGAGUAUGGGAGAGGAUGGUAGAAUUCCAGGUGUAGCGGUGAAAUGCGUAGAGAUCUGGAGGAAUACCGAUGGCGAAGGCAGCCAUCUGGCCUAAUACUGACGCUGAGGUACGAAAGCAUGGGGAGCAAACA